This 591-nucleotide ribosomal RNA is filed under the name Symbiodinium sp. clade D. Its description in RNAcentral is "partial Eukaryotic large subunit ribosomal RNA". It matches the Rfam family "Eukaryotic large subunit ribosomal RNA", at positions 1282 to 1875 of the family's 3401-position model. The record is from RNAcentral. Lineage: Eukaryota; Dinophyceae; Suessiales; Symbiodiniaceae.
GUAACAACUCACCUGCCGAAUGAAUUAGGCCCGAAAAUUGAUGGCGCUCCAGCGUGCGACGGAUACUCGACCAUUGCAGCGACAGUUUGGCUGGAAUGAGUAGGAGGGCGUGGGCGUCUUGCUGAAGCUUUGGGCGUGAGCCUGAGUCGAAAGGCGUCUAGCGCAGAUCUUGGUGGUAGUAGCAAUUAUUCAAAUGAGAACUUUGAAGGCCGACGUGGAGAAGGUUUCCAUGAGAACAGCAAUUGGUCAUGGGUGACUCGAUCCUAAGACAUAGGGUAACCCCUUCAUACACGUGAGAUCUUGUAUCUCCGAUGUCAAAAGGGAAUCAGGUUAAUAUUCCUGAAGUGGAACAUGGAUCAGCGGUAACGCAAACAAGCCUGGAGACGUCAGCAUGAACUCCUGGAAGAGUUAUCUUUUCUUUUUAACUGAUCAGUAGCCUUGAAAUUGGAUUAUCCAGAGAUAAGGCCGCAAAUCAGGAAGAGCACUUCACCCUAUGAAGUGUCAGGUGCGUUCGUGAUGACCCGUGAAAAUCCAGGUGAGGAUGAUUUCAUGUCCAAUCGUACCAAUAACCGCAUCAGGUCUCCAAGGUUA